RNAcentral lists this ribosomal RNA (229 nucleotides) under uncultured bacterium. RNAcentral describes it as "partial 16S ribosomal RNA". It matches the Rfam family "Bacterial small subunit ribosomal RNA", at positions 568 to 796 of the family's 1533-position model. The record is from RNAcentral.
UGCGUAGGCGGACUAAUAAGUCAGUGGUGAAAUCUCUCGGCUCAACCGGGAAACUGCCAUUGAUACUGUUAGUCUUGAGUUCGGUUGAGGUAGGCGGAAUGUGUAAUGUAGCGGUGAAAUGCUUAGAUAUUACACAGAACACCAAUUGCGUAGGCAGCUUACUAGACCGACACUGACGCUGAGGCACGAAAGCGUGGGUAGCGAACCGGAUUAGAGACCCGAGUAGUCC